GACAUACCUGAAAUGCCUCACUUCCAAAAUGCUCACAUAACCACCGCCAAUCGUCACUAGACCCGCCCAAUUUCUGUAUGGCUGGGUCACAGGAUCAAUCCCCUUCAUCUACAGCUUAUUGCAGUAUUUAUGAAGCCUACAUCGCCGAUCUCUGUAUCUAUUUGCAGCCAUUUUGAGAAUACAUGCCGUCACUUCUUCAUCGGUGCAAUUCUCGAAGUCAAUAUUAUCCUACACAGUCAUCAUACCAAAAAGCAAAUACAUGAAAUUAUUCAUAUAAUAAAAAAUUUAUUUAUAUAAUCAAAAAUAAUAUGGAUCAUGUAAUGAUAUGCAAGACAUCCAAAUUUAAUUCUUACCUUGAUGUGAGAGACUAGAGCAUCACGGUAUCGAGGAGCUACAUGCUUGAAACUUUCAGCAGCCCACGAAAAAUAAUUCCACAUAUACAAACUGAUCUCAUUUGCGACGAUACUAGCCUCUGUGCC
RNAcentral lists this long non-coding RNA (479 nucleotides) under Elaeis guineensis (African oil palm). Its description in RNAcentral is "long non-coding RNA (EGUI_LNC065783)". The record is from RNAcentral. Lineage: Eukaryota; Viridiplantae; Streptophyta; Magnoliopsida; Arecales; Arecaceae.